GACGAACGCUGGCGGCGUGCUUAACACAUGCAAGUCGAACGACGUGGCGAACGGGUGAGUAACGCGUAAUCAACCUGCCCUUCAGGGGGGGACAACAGUUGGAAACGACUGCUAAUACCGCAUCCUGAAGCAGGUGAUUGCGUUUGAUUCGCGAGUUGGAGGGGUAACGGCCCACCAAGGCGAUGAUCAGUAGCCGGUCUGGGAGGGUGAACGGCCAAAUUGGGACUGGGACACGGCCCAGACUCCUACGGGAGGCAGCAGUGGGGAAUCUUCCGAAAUGGACGAAAGUCUGACGGAGCAACGCCGCGUGAGUGAUGACGGCCUUCGGGUUGUAAAGCUCUGUUAAUCGGGACGCGGUACCGGAAGAGAAAGCCACGGCUAACUACGUGCCAGCAGCCGCGGUAAUAC
This 408-nucleotide ribosomal RNA is filed under the name uncultured bacterium. Its description in RNAcentral is "partial 16S ribosomal RNA". It matches the Rfam family "Bacterial small subunit ribosomal RNA", at positions 28 to 526 of the family's 1533-position model. The record is from RNAcentral.